RNAcentral lists this ribosomal RNA (425 nucleotides) under uncultured prokaryote. RNAcentral describes it as "bacterial SSU rRNA". It matches the Rfam family "Bacterial small subunit ribosomal RNA", at positions 355 to 796 of the family's 1533-position model. The record is from RNAcentral.
CAAGGAAUCUUGCGCAAUGGGCGAAAGCCUGACGCAGCGACACCGCGUGGGGGAAGAAGGCCCUAGGGUUGUAAACCCCUUUUCUCGGGGAAGAGUAAGGACGGUACCCGAGGAAUAAGGUUCGGCUAACUACGUGCCAGCAGCCGCGGUAAUACGUAGGAACCGAGCGUUGUCCGGAUUUACUGGGCGUAAAGGGCGCGUAGGCGGCCCGUUAAGUCUCAUGUGAAAUCUCCCGGCCCAACUGGGAGGGGUCAUGGGAAACUGACGGGCUCGAGGGCAGCAGAGGAGAGUGGAAUUCCCGGAGUAGUGGUGAUAUGCGUAGAUACCGGGAGGAACACCCGAGGCGAAGGCGACUCUCUGGGCUGAUCCUGACGCUGAGGCGCGAAAGCAUGGGGAGCAAACCGGAUUAGAUACCCCCGUAGUCC